Molecule: transfer RNA, 49 nt
Filed under: Pseudophilautus wynaadensis
Lineage: Eukaryota; Metazoa; Chordata; Amphibia; Anura; Rhacophoridae
Description: partial tRNA-Val
Source: RNAcentral
GCCCUUCGCUUACACCGAAGAAAUAUCUGUGUAAAUCAGAUUAUUUUGA